RNAcentral lists this ribosomal RNA (1627 nucleotides) under Escherichia coli. RNAcentral's name for it is "partial 23S ribosomal RNA". It matches the Rfam family "Bacterial large subunit ribosomal RNA", at positions 1332 to 2925 of the family's 2925-position model. The record is from RNAcentral. Lineage: Bacteria; Pseudomonadati; Pseudomonadota; Gammaproteobacteria; Enterobacterales; Enterobacteriaceae.
GCUCGCCGGAAGACCAAGGGUUCCUGUCCAACGUUAAUCGGGGCAGGGUGAGUCGACCCCUAAGGCGAGGCCGAAAGGCGUAGUCGAUGGGAAACAGGUUAAUAUUCCUGUACUUGGUGUUACUGCGAAGGGGGGACGGAGAAGGCUAUGUUGGCCGGGCGACGGUUGUCCCGGUUUAAGCGUGUAGGCUGGUUUUCCAGGCAAAUCCGGAAAAUCAAGGCUGAGGCGUGAUGACGAGGCACUACGGUGCUGAAGCGACAAAUGCCCUGCUUCCAGGAAAAGCCUCUAAGCAUCAGGUAACAUCAAAUCGUACCCCAAACCGACACAGGUGGUCAGGUAGAGAAUACCAAGGCGCUUGAGAGAACUCGGGUGAAGGAACUAGGCAAAAUGGUGCCGUAACUUCGGGAGAAGGCACGCUGAUAUGUAGGUGAAGCGACUUGCUCGUGGAGCUGAAAUCAGUCGAAGAUACCAGCUGGCUGCAACUGUUUAUUAAAAACACAGCACUGUGCAAACACGAAAGUGGACGUAUACGGUGUGACGCCUGCCCGGUGCCGGAAGGUUAAUUGAUGGGGUUAGCGGUAACGCGAAGCUCUUGAUCGAAGCCCCGGUAAACGGCGGCCGUAACUAUAACGGUCCUAAGGUAGCGAAAUUCCUUGUCGGGUAAGUUCCGACCUGCACGAAUGGCGUAAUGAUGGCCAGGCUGUCUCCACCCGAGACUCAGUGAAAUUGAACUCGCUGUGAAGAUGCAGUGUACCCGCGGCAAGACGGAAAGACCCCGUGAACCUUUACUAUAGCUUGACACUGAACAUUGAGCCUUGAUGUGUAGGAUAGGUGGGAGGCUUUGAAGUGUGGACGCCAGUCUGCAUGGAGCCGACCUUGAAAUACCACCCUUUAAUGUUUGAUGUUCUAACGUGGGCCCCUUACCGGGGUUGCGGACAGUGUCUGGUGGGUAGUUUGACUGGGGCGGUCUCCUCCUAAAGAGUAACGGAGGAGCACGAAGGUUGGCUAAUCCUGGUCGGACAUCAGGAGGUUAGUGCAAUGGCAUAAGCCAGCUUGACUGCGAGCGUGACGGCGCGAGCAGGUGCGAAAGCAGGUCAUAGUGAUCCGGUGGUUCUGAAUGGAAGGGCCAUCGCUCAACGGAUAAAAGGUACUCCGGGGAUAACAGGCUGAUACCGCCCAAGAGUUCAUAUCGACGGCGGUGUUUGGCACCUCGAUGUCGGCUCAUCACAUCCUGGGGCUGAAGUAGGUCCCAAGGGUAUGGCUGUUCGCCAUUUAAAGUGGUACGCGAGCUGGGUUUAGAACGUCGUGAGACAGUUCGGUCCCUAUCUGCCGUGGGCGCUGGAGAACUGAGGGGGGCUGCUCCUAGUACGAGAGGACCGGAGUGGACGCAUCACUGGUGUUCGGGUUGUCAUGCCAAUGGCACUGCCCGGUAGCUAAAUGCGGAAGAGAUAAGUGCUGAAAGCAUCUAAGCACGAAACUUGCCCCGAGAUGAGUUCUCCCUGACUCCUUGAGAGUCCUGAAGGAACGUUGAAGACGACGACGUUGAUAGGCCGGGUGUGUAAGCGCAGCGAUGCGUUGAGCUAACCGGUACUAAUGAACCGUGAGGCUUAACCUUACAACGCCGAAG